UAUAAUUUUAACUAACUUAAGUGGUUAAAAGUCGAACAAUAAAAAUGAAUGUGGUUUUGGGAUUAUUAACAUGUAUAGGUCAGAUAUUAGCAAUGCCGACAACUCAUGAGAGUUUUAAUAAUAAGAAUCUUGUUCAUGCUAUACUUAGAUUUCAAGAGAGCCGUCAUCCAAGAACAGAUGAGCUAGUUAAAAGGAUGAGUAAUUUUUUGUCGUUUUUUGAUCAGAAUAAAAGCGGUAAAAUAAGUCUUAAAGUUUUUUUAGCUCUUGCAAGGUAUUUAGGUCAAGACACAACACACUUGUCAAAAUCUGGAUUAAGUAUGGAUUCAAUGAUUAAUAUUAACACUCUCGUAGAGAUGACUACUUAUCCAAUGAAAAUGGUAGAAGAAAAGUUGUUAGAGAGUUUUAGACAAUUUGACACAGAAAUAAGUGGUUACAUCAGUUUACCUCACAUGCGUAGCUCAUUAAAUAGUGUCGGAAUUGAUGAUAAGUAUAUAUCAAUUAUACUUUUGAAGCUUGAUUUUACAGACGAAAAACAAAAAAUUAAUUAUUCAGGUAGAGAGAAACAAAUAAUUUAUGUGUUGUAUAAAUAGCAUAUUUAGAAAAAUAAAGUGAAUAUAUCACAAGAGAAAAAAUUGAAGAGCUCAGUGUGUUAGCUAAACUUUUUGGAUUUGCUGAUAACUUUUUAAGAAUUUUUGAAGAUUUGGUUCUAAUUUUAAGCUUACAAGUUGAUAAUAUAAUAUUUUUUUUAAAUAAUUUGAUGGUUAAAUAUAUAAUUAGAGUCAUAUUUAUAUGAUUAUAACAAUUAUUGUUUUUAUAUGUUAUUUUAAAUUAUAAAUAAAGAUAGUAAAAAUUUGUUUAACUUAAGCGUCAAUGUGUUGCUGAGAGAAUAUUGGUUUUACAAAGUCAUGCUUUUUUUGUUCAUUCAUAUGAAUACAUUACUUCUAUAGGAUUAAUUUUGCCCAACUAUACGGCAAAAUACAAAAGAUCGCAUCUAUCUGAAGCAAUAAUUCAGAAAAAUUCUCCCCCAUUUCUAUAAUAAAAGGAAAUGUCCUAAAAAAUACUAUUGUUAUAAAAUAGUUACUAUUUAUAUUUUCAGUUUGUAUUUUAUAUUGAAGUAUCUUUUUGAAAACUAGACAGAUUAUCAUGAAAUAUUAUUGACAAUAUUUUAGACAUUUAUCAUGUUGACGACAUACUUUUUAUGGAAAUCCAAACAUUAACCCAAUUACUGAGCGGGGU
Molecule: RNA transcript, 1236 nt
Organism: Daktulosphaira vitifoliae (grape phylloxera)
Lineage: Eukaryota; Metazoa; Arthropoda; Insecta; Hemiptera; Phylloxeridae
Exons: 6
Source: RefSeq, a predicted model, not a curated record